Molecule: ribosomal RNA, 253 nt
Filed under: uncultured bacterium
Lineage: Bacteria
Description: partial 16S ribosomal RNA
Rfam family: Bacterial small subunit ribosomal RNA
Source: RNAcentral
UACGUACCGUACGAACGUUAUUCGGAAUUACUGGGCUUAAAGAGUCCGUAGGCGGCUUUAAAGGUGAGGUGUGAAAUCCCACGGCUUAACCGUGGAAUUGCGCUUCAAACCAUAAGGCUUGAGGGAGAUAGAGGAAAGCGGAACUGAUGGUGGAGCGGUGAAAUGCGUUGAUAUCAUCAGGAACACCGGUGGCGAAAGCGGCUUUCUGGGUCUCUUCUGACGCUGAGGGACGAAAGCUAGGGGAGCGAACGGG